Molecule: long non-coding RNA, 1822 nt
Organism: Equus asinus (donkey)
Lineage: Eukaryota; Metazoa; Chordata; Mammalia; Perissodactyla; Equidae
Source: Ensembl
CCUCCUGAAGCCUUAGUUCCGCCGCGAGUAACGGUCCGUGGGAAUUAACAACCUUCGCGCCAGCGAAGAGCAAGAUGGUGCUGAAAACCAGCUGUUGACGUGGCUCGGGAAAGCGCCCGCUAAGCAAGGAGAGCGUCCUGGAGGAAGCUCGCCCUGGCCCGGGACCUGGGAGGAGUGCGCUAAAUGCAGUGGGUGCGUUCAGCCUGACCGUUGAUUUAUCCACGCGCAGCAGAUCCGCUCACGUUGUGCUGAGGCUGCCGACAUAUUUUAGUGUUCCAGAACUAGAAGGGGAAGUGAAAUAAUCUUGGCACUUUGAAGUGAUUUGAGCGCUGAGCAGCACUGUGAAUGGUUGCGUUUACGCAGCGUGUGGAGAGGUGGAUACCUGCUUGUUUUCUUAUCCCGGAAACCUCUGUCCCUAACGGGUGACGUCUGCGGGGUGAGGGCCGGGCAGCACUGUGAAGUGCGCACUCGCACUGUUUCUCCCUCCUCUUGCACUUCUCUCUACGAGAGAAUUGAAUCAUUAUUAAAGUCUAAGUGACUGGUAAAACUGUAGCCACUCCUGGGAGAUUUUGCAUUUUUAGAGUUUUCCAAAUCAUAAUCCGCAGCAGUGGUGGAAACCAUCUCAUAAACCAAGCAAGAUGUAGGGGAGCUUUUUUGGGGGCAGGUUGUGAGUUCACCAGAACCGUCUGGAACCGCAAGUCUAGGUAGUCACGUAUUGUAAGUCUGACGCUGGUCGUUUCUUAUUGCCUUAGUUUUCUUACCUAUAAAAAUGAGUAGCACCACUCAGUGCCCACCCACCCCUAGAUCUAAAAUGAAAGUAAAUGUAAUCUUGAUGGGAUGGCUUCAACAGAGGGAUACUCUGUUGAUUUCGGGUACCUUGGUGCAGCGGAAGUUUGAAGGAAGUCCGGCCUAUUUUGUGGGUUGAAUCCACGCAGUUCUUGAUUCCCAUUCUGUGACAUCUCAUUCUUAAAUUAUUAAAAUGACACUUUUUUAUCUUGGGAUGUUAUUUUGAAAGACUAUAUAAUGUCUUAAUGAGUCCUUAGUGCCUUCAAGCAGUAACUUUGUUUUAAUGGAACAAAUUCUUAAUACAACCUAUAUCAAUUAUCCAAUCUCUUCAAUGGCUGAGUUUUCCUCUGCUUGGUUGCACACACAGAGACUUUUGCAUUAUUGAGAAAUUAGAUGUGACGAUGCAUACUUGACAAGGUGGGGUAGUUCAGAAAGUAAGGGCUGGAAAGGAGCUGGGAACUAGAAACAGGAAAGCAAAAAAUAAAUUAUUUAUAGGCUGAUAGUACAUUGAAGUUGAAAGGGAUCCCAGUCCAACCUUCUCUCCAUCACGAGUCUCCCUCCUGGCAGAUGCUCAGUAAUAGCUUUCAUUGUUGUCAGUCACUUCUCACUGUUUCUGUGUGAAAUCAUUUAAAUGACAAAUCACUUGGUAUAAGGUCCACACGUUUUCCUUUGUUUUGCCGUGUUUUUAUGAAUAUAUGUAAUGCGUUCUCCGGGCAUUUUGAAAUGAACUGGACAAUUAGUAGCUUUAUAUAGAUUACCACCCAACCUAAAUUAUUUUGCUUUUCUAUCUCCUCACUUUCUCACUACUCUUUGACUUCCGGGGCACAAUUACCUGCACUCUUCUUGAUUUUCUUUUCUUUGCCCCAUUGUCUUUAAUCUUUUUUGUGAUAUUACAAUAACUAAGAUCUAUUUGACACAAGUUUUUAGCAUGUAUCAUCUUAUUUCUCGUCACAAUCCAAUGAGGCAAGUACUAUUAUUACCCCUAUAUUCAUAUGAGGAAACUGAGGCAUAGAGAUGUCAGAUAAUUUACCCAAAG